UGUAUCCCCGCCGUGGGACUAAGCAUAUCAAUAAGCGGAGGAAAAGAAACCAACAGGGAUUGCCUUAGUAGCGGCGAGUGAAGCGGCAAAAGCUCAAAUUUGAAAUCUGGCUCUUUCAGAGUCCGAGUUGUAAUUUGAAGAAGGUAUCUUUGGGUCUGGCUCUGUCUAUGUUUCUUGGAACAGAACGUCACAGAGGGUGAGAAUCCCGUGCGAUGAGAUGAUCCAGGCCUAUGUAAAGUUCCUUCGAAGAGUCGAGUUGUUUGGGAAUGCAGCUCUAAGUGGGUGGUAAAUUCCAUCUAAAGCUAAAUAUUGGCGAGAGACCGAUAGCGAACAAGUACAGUGAUGGAAAGAUGAAAAGAACUUUGAAAAGAGAGUGAAAAAGUACGUGAAAUUGUUGAAAGGGAAGGGCUUGAGAUCAGACUUGGUAUUUUGUAUGUUACUUCUUCGGGGGUGGCCUCUACAGUUUAUCGGGCCAGCAUCAGUUUGGGCGGUAGGAGAAUUGCGUUGGAAUGUGGCACGGCUUCGGUUGUGUGUUAUAGCCUUCGUCGAUACUGCCAGCCUAGACUGAGGACUGCGGUUUAUACCUAGGAUGUGCUAUUCCGAGGGG
This 607-nucleotide ribosomal RNA is filed under the name Candida tropicalis. Its description in RNAcentral is "eukaryotic LSU rRNA". It matches the Rfam family "Eukaryotic large subunit ribosomal RNA", at positions 24 to 628 of the family's 3401-position model. Lineage: Eukaryota; Fungi; Ascomycota; Pichiomycetes; Serinales; Debaryomycetaceae. The record is from RNAcentral.